GAGGCGGUAUUGAUCAAUCAUCGAACUGCACUCGUUAGUUAGUUAUCCUGAGCUUUAAACAAUUGAAUCGUAUGCCAAGUUGUUGGAUUCUGCUCUGAGCCGAAGAGGACCGAGACAGAAGG
Molecule: regulatory RNA element, 122 nt
Organism: Paenibacillus sp. TCA20
Lineage: Bacteria; Bacillati; Bacillota; Bacilli; Caryophanales; Paenibacillaceae
Rfam family: pan motif
Source: Rfam